This 459-nucleotide ribosomal RNA is filed under the name uncultured bacterium. RNAcentral describes it as "partial 16S ribosomal RNA". It matches the Rfam family "Bacterial small subunit ribosomal RNA", at positions 338 to 795 of the family's 1533-position model. The record is from RNAcentral.
CCUACGGGUGGCAGCAGUGAGGAAUCUUGGUCAAUGGCCGGAAGUCUGAACCAGCCAAGCCGCGUGAAGGACGAAGGUGCCAAGCAUUGUAAACUUCUUUUGUCAAGGAACAAAAUCAGGCUCGAGAGCCUGACCGAGGGUACUUGAAGAAAAAGCAUCGGCUAACUCCGUGCCAGCAGCCGCGGUAAUACGGGGGAUGCGAGCGUUAGCCGGUUUUAUUGGGUUUAAAGGGUGCGUAGGCGGGCAGUUAAGUCAGCGGUAAAAGCCAGGGGCUCAACCCCGGAGAGCCGUUGAAACUGGCUGUCUUGAGUGGUCGAGAGGUAUGCGGAAUGCGCAGUGUAGCGGUGAAAUGCUUAGAUAUUGCGAAGAACUCCGAUUGCGAAGGCAGCAUACCGGCGGCGAUCUGACGCUGAGGCACGAAAGCGUGGGUAUCGAACAGGAUUAGAUACCCGGGUAGUC